Molecule: ribosomal RNA, 200 nt
Filed under: uncultured bacterium
Lineage: Bacteria
Description: partial 16S ribosomal RNA
Rfam family: Bacterial small subunit ribosomal RNA
Source: RNAcentral
AGCGAACGCUGGCGGCAGGCCUAACACAUGCAAGUCGAACGGACUCUUCGGAGUUAGUGGCGGACGGGUGAGUAACACGUGGGAACGUGCCUUUAGGUUCGGAAUAGCUCCUGGAAACGGGUGGUAAUGCCGAAUGUGCCCUUCGGGGAAGGAUUUAUCGCCUUUAGAGCGGCCCGCGUCUGAUUAGCUAGUUGGUGAGG